CAGAGGUGCAAGCGUUAAUCGGAUUUACUGGGCGUAAAGGGUACGUAGGUGGUCUAUUAAGUCGGAUGUGAAAUCCCUGAGCUUAACUUAGGAAUUGCAUUCGAUACUGAGAGACUAGAGUAUGGGAGAGGAUGGUAGAAUUCCAGGUGUAGCGGUGAAAUGCGUAGAGAUCUGGAGGAAUACCGAUGGCGAAGGCAGCCAUCUGGCCUAAUACUGACACUGAGGUACGAAAGCAUGGGAGCAAACAGGAUU
This 252-nucleotide ribosomal RNA is filed under the name uncultured bacterium. RNAcentral's name for it is "partial 16S ribosomal RNA". It matches the Rfam family "Bacterial small subunit ribosomal RNA", at positions 527 to 779 of the family's 1533-position model. The record is from RNAcentral.